GACGUAGGGCGCAAGCGUUGUCCGGAAUUAUUGGGCGUAAAGAGCGUGUAGGCGGCCCGGUAAGUCCGCUGUGAAAGUCCAGGGCUCAACCCUGGGAUGCCGGUGGAUACUGUCGGGCUCGAGUCCGGAAGAGGAGUGUGGAAUUCCUGGUGUAGCGGUGAAAUGCGCAGAUAUCAGGAGGAACACCAAUGGCGAAGGCAGCACUCUGGGACGUGACUGACGCUGAGACGCGAAAGCGUGGGGAGCAAACAGG
This 253-nucleotide ribosomal RNA is filed under the name uncultured bacterium. RNAcentral's name for it is "partial 16S ribosomal RNA". It matches the Rfam family "Bacterial small subunit ribosomal RNA", at positions 524 to 776 of the family's 1533-position model. The record is from RNAcentral.